UGACCGAUAGUGUAAUGGCAACACAGAAGAUUUUGGUUCUUUUAUUCAAGGUUCGAGUCCUUGUCGGUCAA
RNAcentral lists this transfer RNA (71 nucleotides) under Cytophagaceae bacterium. RNAcentral's name for it is "tRNA-Gln". It matches the Rfam family "tRNA". Rfam says of the family: Transfer RNA (tRNA) molecules are approximately 80 nucleotides in length. Their secondary structure includes four short double-helical elements and three loops (D, anti-codon, and T loops). The record is from RNAcentral. Lineage: Bacteria; Pseudomonadati; Bacteroidota; Cytophagia; Cytophagales; Cytophagaceae.